CUCUAGGGUUAAUACCCCUAGACGAUGACAUUAGCUGCAGAAUAAGCACCGGCUAACUCUGUGCCAGCAGCCGCGGUAAUACAGAGGGUGCAAGCGUUAAUCGGAAUUACUGGGCGUAAAGCGAGCGUAGGUGGCUUGAUAAGUCAGAUGUGAAAGCCCCGGGCUUAACCUGGGAACGGCAUCUGAUACUGUUGAGCUAGAGUAGGUGAGAGGAAGGUAGAAUUCCAGGUGUAGCGGUGAAAUGCGUAGAGAUCUGGAGGAAUACCGAUGGCGAAGGCAGCCUUCUGGCAUCAUACUGACACUGAGGCUCGAAAGCGUGGGUAGCAAACAGGAUUAGAUACCCUGGUAGUCCACGCCGUAAACGAUGUC
This 369-nucleotide ribosomal RNA is filed under the name uncultured Psychrobacter sp. Its description in RNAcentral is "bacterial SSU rRNA". It matches the Rfam family "Bacterial small subunit ribosomal RNA", at positions 446 to 813 of the family's 1533-position model. The record is from RNAcentral. Lineage: Bacteria; Pseudomonadati; Pseudomonadota; Gammaproteobacteria; Moraxellales; Moraxellaceae.